GAUGAACGCUCGCGGCAGGCCUAAUACAUGCAAGUCGAGGGGUAUGGGUUGCUUGCAACCCAGAGACCGGCGCACGGGUGCGUAACGCGUAUGCAAUCUACCUUAAUCAGGGGGAUAGCCCGGAGAAAUCCGGAUUAACACCGCAUAACAUUGAGUUGUGGCAUCACAGUUCACUCUAAUAUUUAUAGGAUUAAGACGAGCAUGCGUGACAUUAGUUAGUUGGUGAGGUAACGGCUCACCAAGACCACGAUGUCUAGGGGAUCUGAGAGGAUGCCCCCCCAGACUGGUACUGAGGCACGGACCAGACUCGGACGGGAGGCAGCAGUAAGGAAUACUGGGCAAGGGGCGCAAGCCUGAACCAGCCAUGCCGCGUGCAGGAAGACGGCCCUAUGGGUUGUAAACUGCUUUUGUACCGGAAUAAACCUUCUCUUGCGAGAGAAGCUGAACGUACGGUAAGAAUAAGGAUCGGCUAACUCCGUG
This 480-nucleotide ribosomal RNA is filed under the name uncultured bacterium. RNAcentral describes it as "partial 16S ribosomal RNA". It matches the Rfam family "Bacterial small subunit ribosomal RNA", at positions 28 to 507 of the family's 1533-position model. The record is from RNAcentral.